ACACCGAGAAGCGAUAACGAUUGUCUACGGACAAGAAGUGACAGAUACCACGCUUCCAGGAAAAGCCACUAAGCUUCAGCCAAGUCAGAACCGUACCGCAAACCGACACAGGUGGGUAGGAUGAGAAUUCUAAGGCGCUUGAGAGAACUCAGGAGAAGGAACUCGGCAAAUUGAUACCGUAACUUCGGGAGAAGGUAUGCCCUUUGAUGUGAAAGACUAGCUCUGUAAGCAUCGGAGGGUCGCAGAGAAUCGGUGGCUGCGACUGUUUAUUAAAAACACAGCACUCUGCUAACACGAAAGUGGACGUAUAGGGUGUGACGCCUGCCCGGUGCUGGAAGGUUAAUUGAAGAUGUGAGAGCAUUGGAUCGAAGCCCCAGUAAACGGCGGCCGUAACGAUAACGGUCCUAAGGUAGCGAAAUUCCUUGUCGGGUAAGUUCCGACCCGCACGAAUGGCGUAACGAUGGCCACACUGUCUCCUCCUGAGACUCAGCGAAGUUGAAAUGGUUGUGAAGAUGCAAUCUCCCCGCUGCUAGACGGAAAGACCCCGUGAACCUUUACUGUAGCUUUGCAUUGGACUUUGAAGUCACUUGUGUAGGAUAGGUGGGAGGCUUAGAAGCAGAGACGCUAGUUUCUGUGGAGCCGUCCUUGAAAUACCACCCUGGUGACUUUGAGGUUCUAACCCAGACCUGUAAUCCGGGUCGGGGACCGUGCAUGGUAGGCAGUUUGACUGGGGCGGUCUCCUCCCAAAGAGUAACGGAGGAGUUCGAAGGUUACCUAGGUCCGGUCGGAAAUCGGGCUGAUAGUGCAAUGGCAAAAGGUAGCUUAACUGCGAGACCGACAAGUCGAGCAGGUGCGAAAGCAGGACAUAGUGAUCCGGUGGUUCUGAAUGGAAGGGCCAUCGCUCAACGGAUAAAAGGUACUCCGGGGAUAACAGGCUGAUUCCGCCCAAGAGUUCAUAUCGACGGCGGAGUUUGGCACCUCGAUGUCGGCUCAUCACAUCCUGGGGCUGUAGUCGGUCCCAAGGGUAUGGCUGUUCGCCAUUUAAAGUGGUACGUGAGCUGGGUUUAAAACGUCGUGAGACAGUUUGGUCCCUAUCUGCAGUGGGCGUUGGAAGUUUGACGGGGGCUGCUCCUAGUACGAGAGGACCGGAGUGGACGAACCUCUGGUGUACCGGUUGUCACGCCAGUGGCAUAGCCGGGUAGCUAAGUUCGGAAGAGAUAAGCGCUGAAAGCAUCUAAGCGCGAAACUCGCCUGAAGAUGAGACUUCCCUGGUGGUUAAACCACCCUAAAGAGUCGUUCGAGACCAGGACGUUGAUAGGUCGGGUGUGGAAGCGCGGUAACGCGUGAAGCUAACCGAUACUAAUUGCUCGUGAGGCUUGACC
RNAcentral lists this ribosomal RNA (1382 nucleotides) under metagenome. RNAcentral's name for it is "bacterial LSU rRNA". It matches the Rfam family "Bacterial large subunit ribosomal RNA", at positions 1553 to 2925 of the family's 2925-position model. The record is from RNAcentral.